This is a non-coding RNA of Pelobates cultripes (western spadefoot toad), 262 nucleotides long. NCBI's taxonomy places the organism in Eukaryota, Metazoa, Chordata, Amphibia, Anura, Pelobatidae. The record is from the annotation of a GenBank genome assembly.
UCCCUCUGCAGCAAAGUAAUAUCUUGCUCACAUUGUAUUGUUUUACAAAGUUUUGUGUCAUCUGCAAACACUGAAACAUGACUUUCAAUGUGGUCUUCAAGAUCAUUUAUAAACAUGUUAAAUAGAAGGGGUCCCAGAACAGACCCCUGAGGGACACCACUUGCCACCUCUGUCCAGCUUGAAAAUUUACCAUUAAUGACAACUCUUUGUACUCUGUUUUUAAGCCAAUGUUCUACCCAAGAACAAGCAUUUUCAUCUAGAC